RNAcentral lists this ribosomal RNA (484 nucleotides) under uncultured bacterium. RNAcentral describes it as "partial 16S ribosomal RNA". It matches the Rfam family "Bacterial small subunit ribosomal RNA", at positions 30 to 507 of the family's 1533-position model. The record is from RNAcentral.
AUUGAACGCUGGCGGCAGGCCUAACACAUGCAAGUCGAGCGGAUGAAGGGAGCUUGCUCCUGGAUUCAGCGGCGGACGGGUGAGUAAUGCCUAGGAAUCUGCCUGGUAGUGGGGGAUAACGUCCGGAAACGGGCGCUAAUACCGCAUACGUCCUGAGGGAGAAAGUGGGGGAUCUUCGGACCUCACGCUAUCAGAUGAGCCUAGGUCGGAUUAGCUAGUUGGUGAGGUAAAGGCCUACCAAGGCGACGAUCCGUAACUGGUCUGAGAGGAUGAUCAGUCACACUGGAACUGAGACACGGUCCAGACUCCUACGGGAGGCAGCAGUGGGGAAUAUUGGACAAUGGGCGAAAGCCUGAUCCAGCCAUGCCGCGUGUGUGAAGAAGGUCUUCGGAUUGUAAAGCACUUUAAGUUGGGAGGAAGGGCAGUAAGUUAAUACCUUGCUGUUUUGACGUUACCAACAGAGUAAGCACCGGCUAACUUCGUG